UGGACCCGAGACCCCACAGCCGCCCCGAUCUCAGCUGCGUUGGGCACGGGGUGGGGGCAGCUGAACAUGAUUUUCCACUUUGUGUCCCCAAUCAGACCUGCCUGACCAGUGCACGCCCAACCCCUGCGAUAGGAAGGGGACCCAAGCCUGCCAGGACCUCAUGGGCAACUUCUUCUGCCUGUGUAAAGCUGGCUGGGGGGGCCGGCUCUGCGACAAAGAUGUCAACGAAUGCAGCCAGGAGAACGGGGGCUGCCUCCAGAUCUGCCACAACAAGCCGGGCAGCUUCCACUGUUCCUGCCACAGCGGCUUCGAGCUCUCCUCUGAUGGCAGGACCUGCCAAGGCGGCUGCUGCUGGCUGGGUUCCUGUGGUUCUGGAUGGGAUGGGGCAUCCUGCAGAGACUACACAAGCCCAGGCCAGCCGCAGCACAGGGAGCUGCUCGGCACCGCACCAGGAUGACUCACCCGGCAUCUGAGGGCCA
Molecule: long non-coding RNA, 479 nt
Filed under: Pan troglodytes (chimpanzee)
Lineage: Eukaryota; Metazoa; Chordata; Mammalia; Primates; Hominidae
Description: long non-coding RNA NONPTRT004390
Source: RNAcentral